Long non-coding RNA from Gallus gallus (chicken), 3233 nucleotides. RefSeq lists it as uncharacterized. The record is from RefSeq and is a predicted model, not a curated record. Lineage: Eukaryota; Metazoa; Chordata; Aves; Galliformes; Phasianidae. The transcript has 5 exons.
GAAGGAAGAGCGGGCUGUACGCGCUCGCUCCGCCUGACGGGGUCGGUAGCAAGAAAAUGGGAGGUUCUGGCGAGCGUGAGGGUUUUGUGCCUCAGUUCUGCUGAUCCGGUGCCUGGUUAGCAGGCAGGUGCAAGCCUGGAUCCUGGCACAGUUCUCUCCCUUACUUCUGGAGGGGCAUUGCUUCUUGUGCCUUGGAAUGUGACGCUAUCAGCGUGAGAAGCUGCUUCAGUGCAAUCUGAGGAGCCAUGGAUCUACAGUAAAUAAAAACUGGCCUCAGGUGGUCUUGGACACUUUCUGAAGAAUGAAAGAUCGGUGUGCCACUUUUCCUCAUCUCUUAUCAUGGAGCUCCCUGUGUAUGAGACACCUUAACACACUGCCUAUAUAGCAGUCUUUAAGCCAAGGGAAUGGGACCUUUCAGAAUGGCACCUUGCUUAACUGAGUGGUUGUGCUGACUGAAUUUUUCCAUUGCUGAAGAAUCCAUCAGAGCCUCUGGUCAUUUCUGAUCCAGCUUACACAGACCUUCCAUGUUUGUUCCCUCCCUCGGGUUCAAGGCAGCAAGACUCGCGAUCCUGCUCACAGAAUGUGCCUGUUAUGCAGUCAGUCAUGGAGGCACCCGGACAGAUGAGGUUCAAGUUGGUCUGCAUUGAUUUGAACGUACGGUAGCUUUGGAACUGCUCUAUUACCUGGAAGACCUCUGAAUUCUGGUUAAGCUCACUUUGAUCCUGGUCAUAUUGGCUGCUUAAAGUGUACUUACACGCAGCUUGAGCCUGUCUGGAUGCCGUUCUUCCUCUUCAUUCAUUUCUCUUUUCUGCCCUGAUUUGUAUCCCUGCCCUCCAGCAUAACAUUAUUUAGAAGCCUCUUGUCCUCCUGCACAGGUAGGCAACUGCCCAGGCAACUUUGAAAACAUGUUGUUGCAAUUUUUACAAAUUGUAGAAGAAAAUGACACAAUCUUAAAAGCCAUUGCUCAGUUCCCUGCAGUAACGUUUCGUAUUUUCCCCCGCUUACUACCACGAGGAGUUCGGCCCGGGCUGAUGCCCCAUUCCCAUGUGGCCGAGCCCUGCCUGCUUGCUCAGCAGAGCAAAGUGCCCAGCUCAGGACCUGCCCAGGGCCGAGCACUUCUCGCAGCCCGGAAGGUGCACGCCUGAGCUGCUCCCUGAAGUUCUGGCUAUCCGUACGCUGCCCUUCUGGCUGACAGGAUGAGCUCUUUUGUUGUUUUGACGUAACAACUUGGACGAUCAUAGUUCUGUGUGUCAGUGCUUGCUAUUUUUUUUUUUUCUUAAACACCAACUCAGUGAACAGAUAUUUACAAUCUGCAGCUGCUGAGUGAUGCUGCAUGGCUUUUUAAUCUCUAGAGGCCAGAUGGAAGUGUGCUCCUUCAUCAUUACUUGUUUUGCAUAAUGUGGGAAUUAGAACUACAUUUGGGUAAGCAGAUAGACAUUUGAUGUAUAUUUUUCUCUUUCGUGCAUAUACUUUCUUCUCUCUCUCUUUUUUUUUUUAGAUGGCAGUUUUCUGUAGGGAAAGUGAGUUGUAUGCCCGAAACAGGAAAGAUGUUGAUCCAGGAGAUUUAGAGAGAAAGGGAUGCUUCUUCUGGUAGGUUUCUGAGAGCUGGGGACUUAGCACAGUUUCUGAAAGAGCUGCUAGCGGGCUGAUCUUGAAUGCUGUGGGGGUUUGUGUCAUUGUCUUUGUUUCAAGCUCUUCUGGAAUCCUCACUUUGACUUUUAGUUGCAUUUGUGGAUGUAUUGAGACUGCAAUCAAUUGAUUGAAAUCCAUAAAUAAUAGGACAAUUUUCAAUUUGAGAUGCAGUAACAGGAUGCUAUUGGGAGAAGGUUUAUGUACGUGAGAAGCUUUUUAUAGCUCACUCCCCCCUCGAGUCCAAUCCUGGCCAGCCCCUGGCAAUGGGAAGGCCCUGGCCUUACCGCCAGCUUGUUGGAGGCCAAUCCCACGCUGCACAGCAGCAGGGAUGUUCACACAGCCGUCUGUGGCAGUGCAGCACCGCGAGGCCUGCUGUGGUGCUCGGCUGAGCUUUGGGGGUCACAGGCGAUGUGGCAUUAAAGUAACUAUGAGAAACAGAAAAAGCAAGACAGACUAACAUGAAAAAACACAUUUUAUUGCACUUAAGUUAUAAGAAAAUAAAAUUUCUAAGUGAAUCAAACCAUAGACACAGUCCCUUUAAACGCUGUUUUCCUCCAUCACGUCAGGUUGUUACAUAACUAAAAUUAACCAACUGGAAUCUGAUUGUUUUAAAUCAGACUAUAAAUAAAACAAAAAACAAAACAAAACAAAAAAAAAAAAGGAGGAAAAAAGAUCGCCUAGGAUACAGUGUUAAACCACUUUCACAGUUCAGCUUGAGUUGUGGCUCUUGGAGAAUGAGGCAAACUGUUUGACUCUUUCAUUUCUCAUCGUGUUUGCAUGUGACAUCUUUACAAAAACGUAAGUUUUUGCUCUGUCAGUUCCUCCCAGCAAUAACUGUAACAGUUGUUUUUUUUUUCUCAAAUACUGUAAAACACUACGACUGACCAGCAACUUUAUUUUCAUUUUUGUGUUUUAUAAUCUUUUUUAAAAAUUUUGUCAGUUUUUUUAAAUUUUUUUUUGUGUUCAUUCCAUUCACCACAGCCCUCACAAAGAAAAAAUUUCCCCACAGAACAGGCUGCAAUAGCUUUGUUCUAAGGAAUGUGUUUUAAUUUUUGCCCAGAAAAAAAGAAAAUAAGCUUUGCACACACACUCAAUUCUUUAUUUGCAGGCAAACUUCACUCUUUAAUUGUCUGAAACUCUUCCACUCUCAGCCUCUUAGAGGCACAGUUGGCUCAAGUUUCAGUGGCAAAAAGUCUUUUUCUGUAACCAAACUAGAGCAAAUUUGGAAUUCAGUCUGGGACUAAAACGUCACAGCAGAAAAAAAAAAAUAAAAAAAAAUAAUUUGCUUUUUCUUUCUUUCAUUUAGCAGCAUAAAUAAGUUUGGCCACUGGGAAUACAGUACAGGGGUGGGAAAACAAUCCCGUAAUUGAAGACCUACUUCUAGCACCAGCGUUGCGAAUUAAAUCCGUCAGAGGACUCUCAGAACCCAGGACAACUUUGCCACCUCAGAGCAACUUAGGCGUUGAAGAGUGUAGAUGGAAGCAACGGUAAGUAGAUUAAACAGAGGCUAAUACUGUGAUUGACGUUGGCAAUGGUUGGCAAAAAAAAAGGAAGAAAAGAAAAAAAAAGAAAAAGAAAAAGCUCUGAUAAAACUGCACAAA